This 749-nucleotide ribosomal RNA is filed under the name uncultured bacterium. RNAcentral's name for it is "bacterial SSU rRNA". It matches the Rfam family "Bacterial small subunit ribosomal RNA", at positions 8 to 796 of the family's 1533-position model. The record is from RNAcentral.
AGAGUUUGAUCCUGGCUCAGGACAAACGCUGGCGGCGUGCGUAACACAUGCAAGUCGAACGGGUGGAGCAAUCCACCAGUGGCGGACGGGUGAGGAACACGUAGAUCAUCGACCCGGCACAGGGGAAUACCUCUGGGAAACCAGGGCUAAAACCGCAUACGCUCCGUGAGGAGGAAAGGCGCAAGCCGGUGCCGGACGAGUCUGCGGCCGAUUAGCUGGUUGGUGGGGUAAUGGCCCACCAAGGCGACGAUCGGUAGCUGGUCUGAGAGGAUGAUCAGCCACAUGGGGAUUGAGAACGGCCCCAAUCCCUACGGGGAGCAGCAGUGAGGAAUCUUCGGCAAUGGGCGCAAGCCUGACCGAGCGACGCCGCGUGCGGGACGACGCGUUUCGGCGUGUAAACCGCUUUUCUGGGGGACAAGACCGGAUGGUACCCCAGGAAUCAGCCCCGGCUAACUACGUGCCAGCAGCCGCGGUAAUACGUAGGGGGCGAGUGUUGUCCGGAGUUACUGGGCGUAAAGCGUGUGUAGGCGGUACGGUGCGUCUGUGGGCAAAUCUCCCGGCUUACCUGGGAGGGGGCCACGGAAACGACCGCACUUGAGGGCAUGAGAGGCCAGUAGAACUCCUGGUGGACCAGUGAAAUGGGUAGAGAUCGGGAAGAAUACCAGUGGUGCAGACGGCUGGCUGGCGUGUCCCUGACGCUGAGACACGAAAGCAUGGGGAGCAAACAGGAUUAGAUACCCUGGUAGUCC